UACGAAGGGGGCUAGCGUUGUUCGGAGUUUACUGGGCGUAAAGCGCACGUAGGCGGAUCGUUAAGUCGGGGGUGAAAUCCUGGAGCUCAACUCCAGAACUGCCUUCGAUACUGGCGAUCUUGAGUCCGGAAGAGGUGAGUGGAACUCCUAGUGUAGAGGUGGAAUUCGUAGAUAUUAGGAAGAACACCAGUGGCGAAGGCGGCUCACUGGUCCGGUACUGACGCUGAGGUGCGAAAGCGUGGGGAGCAAACAGG
RNAcentral lists this ribosomal RNA (254 nucleotides) under uncultured bacterium. Its description in RNAcentral is "partial 16S ribosomal RNA". It matches the Rfam family "Bacterial small subunit ribosomal RNA", at positions 524 to 776 of the family's 1533-position model. The record is from RNAcentral.